CGAGACCGGGAGGUUAAGCAAAUCCCAAAAAUAACGUCUCAGUUCGGAUUGUAGUCUGCAACUCGACUACAUGAAGCUGGAAUCGCUAGUAAUCGCAGAUCAGAAUGCCGCGGUGAAUACGUUCCCGGGUCUUGUACACACCGCCCGUCACACCAUGGGAGUCGGAAAUGCCAGAAGUCGGUGACCGAACCGAAAGGAAGGAGCCGCCGAAGGCAGGUCUGGUGACUGGGGUGAAGUCGUAACAAGGUAUC
RNAcentral lists this ribosomal RNA (251 nucleotides) under uncultured bacterium. RNAcentral describes it as "partial 16S ribosomal RNA". It matches the Rfam family "Bacterial small subunit ribosomal RNA", at positions 1250 to 1500 of the family's 1533-position model. The record is from RNAcentral.